AUGCCAUUCAAUAAUCCCAGAGGACACACAGUAUGUCAACGUCACACCACUGCAAACAAAAAUGCCAUUCAAUAAUCCCAGAGGACACACAGUAUGUCAACGUCACACCACUGCAAACAAAAUGAAGUUAAGCUGGUGGUCAUCGUCGAUCAAUUUGACCCAAGUUCCAUUUCGGUCCAUGGCUCCAGACAUGUUGCAGUCGUUCCCAGACUGGGGGAGGGCCCAGUUCUUGUAGUGGACCGUCUCGUCAC
Molecule: long non-coding RNA, 251 nt
Organism: Perca fluviatilis (European perch)
Lineage: Eukaryota; Metazoa; Chordata; Actinopteri; Perciformes; Percidae
Exons: 3
Source: RefSeq, a predicted model, not a curated record